GUGUCAGUCUUCCUUGAACGCUGCAGUUCCUGGUCUCGGGACAGGCGCUGGGCUUCACGCUUCUGAAAGACUGGACGAAGGGACAAAAGACAAGAGACAGAACGCUGGAAUGAAAAACACAAAGCAAGAAAUCACAUGGGAAGACUAAAAUCUUGAUUGUUAUGUCACUUGUCCACUACCUUUAAUAAAAGAAGGAAAGGCUCACCUUGUUACACCAUCUCGUACUGGUUAGCAGUAAUAAACCGGGACAGGCAGCACGCCAGCAGCAUCCCAAUCAACUGUUUCAAACAAGAACGGAACAAGUUAGGUUGAGUGAAUGCAGAGCAAAGGAGAGGCUGUGGUAAGCAGAGACUUCACCGUCUGGUGCUAUCGCCCACAACAGAACUUAUCCCCUGUCCUCUGAUCGGAGAAAUAGCAUUAAAAUUUCUUGUCCUUCCUCAUGGGAUCUUCCUCUUGAUCAGGGCUCUUUUCAGUGGUGAGUGGAGACAGGACAAGGGGAAACGGCUGGAAACUGCAGCAUAGGAAGUUCUGCACCAAUGUGCGCAAGAACUUCUUUGCAGUGAGGUGACGGAGCACUGGAACAGGCUGCCCAGGGAGGUGGUGGAGUCUCCUUCUCUGGAGAUGUCCAAGACCUGCCUGGAUGCCUACCUGUGCGACCUGCUGUAGGGAACCUGCUUUGGCAGGGGGGUUGGACUCCAUGAUCUCUGGAGGUCCCUUCCAACCCCUACGAUUCUGUGAUUCUGUGAUUAUCAGAGCCUCUUUGUUUGAUAGCACAUAUUUUGCUACUUUUCCAUCCCGCUGCCACUGCCAGCCCAGCACAGGCAGGAUACCUGAUGGGCUGCUGCCUGGCUGCAUUUCACUCAUCCACUCCACUCAGUUUCUGACCCCCCCGGGCAUUUAUGCUUUCUUUACAAAUGAUGCAGCACUCGAUAAAUGAACACUAUAAAUCUGGAAAUUAAGGGAAAAAAAAAACAAGAAGCCUUUCAUUAUUCCCCUGGAUAUAACUCAGAUUAUUGAAAACAGAUCCCUCGUCUCCACCCUUCAAUAAACUCUCAGUCAUUUUAA
Tympanuchus pallidicinctus (lesser prairie-chicken) is the source of this 1065-nucleotide long non-coding RNA. RefSeq lists it as uncharacterized. The record is from RefSeq and is a predicted model, not a curated record. Lineage: Eukaryota; Metazoa; Chordata; Aves; Galliformes; Phasianidae. The transcript is spliced from 2 exons.